UCCGGCGGCGAUAGCACGUUAAAUGUACCCGUUCCCAUCGAUCACGAAGAUAAACAACUUUGAGCAUGGUUGGUACGCGGAUGGGUGACCAUCUGGGGAAUCGCGUACUGAUGGCU
RNAcentral lists this ribosomal RNA (116 nucleotides) under Diaphorina citri (Asian citrus psyllid). Lineage: Eukaryota; Metazoa; Arthropoda; Insecta; Hemiptera; Psyllidae. The record is from RNAcentral.